GGGCCCGCACAAGCGGUGGAGCAUGUGGUUUAAUUCGAUGAUACGCGAGGAACCUUACCAGGGCUUAAAUGGGAAAUGACAGGGGCAGAGACGCCCCCUUCUUCGGACAUUUUUCAAGGUGCUGCAUGGUUGUCGUCAGCUCGUGCCGUGAGGUGUCAGGUUAAGUCCUAUAACGAGCGCAACCCCUACCGUUAGUUGCCAGCGAGUCAUGUCGGGGACUCUAACGGGACUGCCGGUGCAAACCGUGAGGAAGGUGGGGACGACGUCAAAUCAUCACGGCCCUUACGUCCUGGCCACACACGUGCUACAAUGGUAGGUACAGAGGGAAGCCACCUCGUGAGAGGGAGCG
This 349-nucleotide ribosomal RNA is filed under the name uncultured bacterium. Its description in RNAcentral is "bacterial SSU rRNA". It matches the Rfam family "Bacterial small subunit ribosomal RNA", at positions 917 to 1269 of the family's 1533-position model. The record is from RNAcentral.